RNAcentral lists this ribosomal RNA (221 nucleotides) under uncultured bacterium. Its description in RNAcentral is "partial 16S ribosomal RNA". It matches the Rfam family "Bacterial small subunit ribosomal RNA", at positions 109 to 334 of the family's 1533-position model. The record is from RNAcentral.
AGUAACACGUAGAUAACCUGCCCUUUAGUGGGGAAUAACAGCUCGAAAGAGUUGCUAAUACCGCAUACGCUCUCUAUCGAUAGGUAGAGAGGAAAGCUUUAGUGCUGAAGGAGGGGUCUGCGGCGGAUUAGCUAGUUGGUGGGGUAAAGGCCUACCAAGGCGACGAUCCGUAGCUGGUCUGAGAGGACGAUCAGCCACACUGGGACUGAGACACGGCCCAG